Long non-coding RNA from Xiphophorus hellerii (green swordtail), 682 nucleotides. RefSeq lists it as uncharacterized. The record is from RefSeq and is a predicted model, not a curated record. The transcript is spliced from 2 exons. NCBI's taxonomy places the organism in Eukaryota, Metazoa, Chordata, Actinopteri, Cyprinodontiformes, Poeciliidae.
UCGGACAGUUAUGUAUCGGUUCAAUACGGGACGAACAUUUAACGGCCAAAUAUGGGACGACUCCGUAUUUUACGGGAAGGGUGGCAACCUGAUUCAUACAGUUUUAGGGAUCCAGUGUGACAUGUCCCUGAGGUGGUUCCAUCAGGAGUGUGUGGGAAGCCCAAUUUAAAAAAACUUAUCAGUGCUUUGCGUGUUUGCCUUAGGUUCCUGAGUUUGUUGUGGUGUGCUAGUUUAUGUAUGGUGUAUAAUGGUUAAUAAGUUACAUUUUGAAAACUAUGUUUGAUAUUUAUCCUUACAGGACUUUAAUAUAAGGUAGCUAUGGAAAGAUAGUUUAAAUCCCAAGGCCCCUUACCUUUGUGAAAUGAAGAGCAAAUGUUUCCAAAGCAAAGUUAAAGAGUUGCUGGUAAACUGAUAUAUUCCCAUGUUAUAGAGUGGGAGCAGAUUAUAUCAGGUGGCUAAAAUAUUUGGUUCCCCUCCUUUCACUUUGGCAAAUAAUUUCAGGCAACUGAAAUAUCCAUUCUCUAAACAUAAUUAUAGAACAUAAGGUAAAGGAUUCAUAUGUUAAGGUAAAAGGCUAGAACAACACUGUUUGAGUUACUGAUGGUAUUUUAUUUGUAUAUUUUGUAGUUCUUACAGUGUGUUCACAUACAAACGCUGUUGAAUAAAGGACUGUGAACCAUCA